CCCUUAGAUGUUCUGGGCCGCACGCGUGCUACACUGAGUAAUUCAAUGGGUAAGGGAACGCUAGAGCAUUACCUAAUCUUGAAAUUUGCUCGUGAUGGGGAUCGGCGGUUGCAAUUUUCCGUCGUGAACGAGGAAUACCUUGUAGGCGCAUGUCAUCAUCAUGCGCCGAAUACGUCCCUGCCCUUUGUACACACCGCCCGUCGCUCCUACCGAUUGAGUGAUCCGGUGAGGCUCUGGGACCUGGACGGAAAGAGCGUUUCGCUUGUUCUGUUUGGGAAACUUGGUCGAACCUUAUCAUUUAGAGGAAGGAGAAGUCGUAACA
Molecule: ribosomal RNA, 322 nt
Filed under: uncultured eukaryote
Lineage: Eukaryota
Description: partial 18S ribosomal RNA
Rfam family: Eukaryotic small subunit ribosomal RNA
Source: RNAcentral